GUGGGGAAUAUUGGACAAUGGGGGGAACCCUGAUCCAGCCAUGCCGCGUGUGUGAAGAAGGCCUUUUUGUUGUAAAGCACUUUAAGCGAGGAGGAGGCUACCGAGAUUAAUACUCUUGGAUAGUGGACGUUACUCGCAGAAUAAGCACCGGCUAACUCUGUGCCAGCAGCCGCGGUAAUACAGAGGGUGCAAGCGUUAAUCGGAUUUACUGGGCGUAAAGCGCGCGUAGGUGGCCAAUUAAGUCAAAUGUGAAAUCCCCGAGCUUAACUUGGGAAUUGCAUUCGAUACUGGUUGGCUAGAGUAUGGGAGAGGAUGGUAGAAUUCCAGGUGUAGCGGUGAAAUGCGUAGAGAUCUGGAGGAAUACCGAUGGCGAAGGCAGCCAUCUGGCCUAAUACUGACACUGAGGUGCGAAAGCAUGGGGAGCAAACAGGAUUAGAUACCCUAGUAGUCC
This 451-nucleotide ribosomal RNA is filed under the name uncultured bacterium. RNAcentral's name for it is "partial 16S ribosomal RNA". It matches the Rfam family "Bacterial small subunit ribosomal RNA", at positions 354 to 796 of the family's 1533-position model. The record is from RNAcentral.